Molecule: ribosomal RNA, 725 nt
Filed under: Chloropicon laureae
Lineage: Eukaryota; Viridiplantae; Chlorophyta; Chloropicophyceae; Chloropicales; Chloropicaceae
Description: partial Bacterial large subunit ribosomal RNA
Rfam family: Bacterial large subunit ribosomal RNA
Source: RNAcentral
AAGAUGUAACGGGGCUCAAACUGGUUACCGAAGCUGCGGCUGUGCACGCAAGUGCACGGGGUAGGGGAGCGUUCUGUAAGCCUGCGAAGGUGUGUCGAGAGGCAUGCUGGAGGUAUCAGAAGUGCGAAUGCUGACAUGAGUAACGACAAUGGGGGUGAAAAACCCCCACGCCGGAAGACCAAGGGUUCCUGCGCAACGCUAAUCGGCGCAGGGUGAGUCGGCCCCUAAGGCGAGACCGAAAGGUGUAGUCGAUGGGAAACGGAUUAAUAUUUCCGUACCUUGGAUAGCUGCGAUGGAGAGACGGAGAAGGCUAGGUGAGCCGGGCGACGGUUGUCCCGGUUUAAGCAUGUAGGCAGUGGGAUUAGGCAAAUCCGGUCCCACAAUGCCGAGACGCGACGACGACUGCCCUUUAAGGGCGGGAAGUCAUUGAUGCCCUGCUUCCAGGAAAAUCUUCUAAGCUUCAGGCUAUUCGAGACCGUACCCCAAACCGACACAGGUGGUUGGGAUGAGUAUUCUAAGGCGCUUGAGAGAACUCGGGUGAAGGAACUAGGCAAAAUUGUACCGUAACUUCGGGAGAAGGUACGCCGCUGACGGUGACGAGACUUGCUCUCUGAGCUAUUGGCGGUCGCAGUGAAAAGGCCCCUGCAACUGUUUAUUAAAAACACAGCACUCUGCAAACGCGUAAGCGGACGUAUAGGGUGUGACGCCUGCCCGGUGCCGGAAGG